CUAGAGGAGGUACCAGAGAAAGUGACAGUCAAACACAAGCUAAAAAUUCAAAGUAUUUUCUGUAUCAUAAUCUAAGGAAUUAGUGUAUGAGAAGGAGAUACAUACCUGAUUUGGAGGCAAAAAAUCUGGUUUUGAGUUUGGCUCUUUCAUUGUAGUAGAUAUCUUAUCUUAGACUAACCAUGCAACUGCUUCAGGCAUUGGUUAUCCCUUCUCUGAAAUGUAGGGUCUAGACUCAUUUAUUCAGUGACCUUCUUGAAUUAUAAUUGCUUAUGAUUGUCUUUUGAGAUUUGUGUUAUUCUUGCAAGUGGAGAGGAGGGAUUUACAGAAACCAGUUAAUGUUUUCUUUGUCUGAUGGUAAGUGACAUGUUCUGUGGUGGCUUAUUGAUAUUAGAAGAUACUAACAUGGGGCAGAGGCAGAGGCAAAGCAGCAGUUUGCUCAUAUAAGCUACUUCUGGUUUUUGGCUUGUUAAUGUUAGAUUCAGCCACAGAGACAGAAGCACCUCUCUAACUUCAGUGGUGAAGACUGUAUAGUUAGUUGUGAGAUAGUGGGAGACCAUAAAAUAAGGUUGCCAUGGUCAUUUGCUGGCUUGUUCUGGGUGAUGAUACAGUUAGUUCAUUAUGAGAUAUGAGGGA
Molecule: long non-coding RNA, 633 nt
Filed under: Homo sapiens (human)
Lineage: Eukaryota; Metazoa; Chordata; Mammalia; Primates; Hominidae
Description: HSALNT0290662
Source: RNAcentral